This 494-nucleotide ribosomal RNA is filed under the name uncultured bacterium. RNAcentral's name for it is "partial 16S ribosomal RNA". It matches the Rfam family "Bacterial small subunit ribosomal RNA", at positions 28 to 507 of the family's 1533-position model. The record is from RNAcentral.
GACGAACGCUGGCGGCGUGCCUAAUACAUGCAAGUAGAACGCUGAAGGAGGAGCUUGCUCUUCUGGAUGAGUUGCGAACGGGUGAGUAACGCGUAGGUAACCUGCCUGGUAGCGGGGGAUAACUAUUGGAAACGAUAGCUAAUACCGCAUAACAGUAGAUGUUGCAUGACAUUUGCUUAAAAGGUGCAAUUGCAUCACUACCAGAUGGACCUGCGUUGUAUUAGCUAGUUGGUGGGUUACGGCUCACCAAGGCGACGAUACAUAGCCGACCUGAGAGGGUGAUCGGCCACACUGGGACUGAGACACGGCCCAGACUCCUACGGGAGGCAGCAGUAGGGAAUCUUCGGCAAUGGACGGAAGUCUGACCGAGCAACGCCGCGUGAGUGAAGAAGGUUUUCGGAUCGUAAAGCUCUGUUGUAAGAGAAGAACGAGUGUGAGAGUGGAAAGUUCACACUGUGACGGUAUCUUACCAGAAAGGGACGGCUAACUACGUG